GUAGGGGGGGCGAACGUUGUCCGGAUUUAUUGGGCGUAAAGGGCUCGUAGGCGGCUUGACAAGUCGAUCGUGAAAACCCGGGGGCUCAACCCCGGGACGCCGGUCGAAACUGUCAUGGCUAGGGUCCGGUAGAGGUGAGUGGAAUUCUCGGUGUAGCGGUGAAAUGCGCAGAUAUCGAGAGGAGCACCAGUAGCGAAGGCGGCUCACUGGGCCGGUACCGACGCUAAGGAGCGAAAGCGUGGGGAGCAAACAGGAUUAGAUACCCUGGUAGUCCACGCCGUAAACGUUGAACACUAGGUGUGGCGGACAUAUCCACGUCUGCUGUGCCGCAGCUAACGCAUUAAGUGUUCCGCCUGGGGAGUACGGCCGCAAGGCU
Molecule: ribosomal RNA, 376 nt
Filed under: uncultured organism
Description: partial 16S ribosomal RNA
Rfam family: Bacterial small subunit ribosomal RNA
Source: RNAcentral